This 59-nucleotide small RNA is filed under the name Caenorhabditis elegans. RNAcentral describes it as "Unclassified non-coding RNA R13H8.4". Lineage: Eukaryota; Metazoa; Nematoda; Chromadorea; Rhabditida; Rhabditidae. The record is from RNAcentral.
GGGGCGCCGGGCGGCCGUUAGGCCAUUGGCGUGGCAAAUGCAACACGGAGAAAACGAUG